RNAcentral lists this ribosomal RNA (482 nucleotides) under uncultured bacterium. RNAcentral's name for it is "partial 16S ribosomal RNA". It matches the Rfam family "Bacterial small subunit ribosomal RNA", at positions 30 to 507 of the family's 1533-position model. The record is from RNAcentral.
AUUGAACGCUGGCGGCAUGCCUUACACAUGCGAGUCGAACGGUAACGGGCCUUCGGGUGCCGACGAGUGGCGAACGGGUGAGUAAUACAUCGGAACGUGCCCGAUCGUGGGGGAUAACGAGGCGAAAGCUUUGCUAAUACCGCAUACGAUCUACGGAUGAAAGCAGGGGACCGCAAGGCCUUGCGCGGACGGAGCGGCCGAUGGCAGAUUAGGUAGUUGGUGGGAUAAAAGCUUACCAAGCCGACGAUCUGUAGCUGGUCUGAGAGGAUGAUCAGCCACACUGGGACUGAGACACGGCCCAGACUCCUACGGGAGGCAGCAGUGGGGAAUUUUGGACAAUGGGCGCAAGCCUGAUCCAGCCAUGCCGCGUGCAGGAUGAAGGCCUUCGGGUUGUAAACUGCUUUUGUACGGAACGAAAAGCCUUCUUUUAAUACAGGAGGGUCAUGACGGUACCGUAAGAAUAAGCACCGGCUAACUACGUG